Molecule: ribosomal RNA, 260 nt
Filed under: uncultured bacterium
Lineage: Bacteria
Description: partial 16S ribosomal RNA
Rfam family: Bacterial small subunit ribosomal RNA
Source: RNAcentral
ACCGGCGCACGGGUGAGUAACACGUAUCCAACCUGCCGAUGACUCGGGGAUAGCCUUUCGAAAGAAAGAUUAAUACCCGAUGGCAUAGUUCUUCCGCAUGGUGGAACUAUUAAAGAAUUUCGGUCAUCGAUGGGGAUGCGUUCCAUUAGGUUGUUGGCGGGGUAACGGCCCACCAAGCCUUCGAUGGAUAGGGGUUCUGAGAGGAAGGUCCCCCACAUUGGAACUGAGACACGGUCCAAACUCCUACGGGAGGCAGCAUG